UAAUGCCUGGGAAUAUGCCUUGAUGUGGGGGAUAACUAUUGGAAACGAUAGCUAAUACCGCAUAAUGCCUACGGGCCAAAGAGGGGGAUCUUCGGACCUCUCGCGUCAAGAUUAGCCCAGGUGGGAUUAGCUAGUUGGUGGGGUAAAGGCUCACCAAGGCGACGAUCCCUAGCUGGUCUGAGAGGAUGAUCAGCCACACUGGAACUGAGACACGGUCCAGACUCCUACGGGAGGCAGCAGUGGGGAAUAUUGCACAAUGGGGGAAACCCUGAUGCAGCCAUGCCGCGUGUAUGAAGAAGGCCUUCGGGUUGUAAAGUACUUUCAGCAGUGAGGAAGGUGGUAGUGUUAAUAGCACUAUCAUUUGACGUUAGCUGCAGAAGAAGCACCGGCUAACUCCGUGCCAGCAGCCGCGGUAAUACGGAGGGUGCGAGCGUUAAUCGGAAUUACUGGGCGUAAAGCGCAUGCAGGCGGUCUGUUAAGCAAGAUGUGAAAGCCCGGGG
This 500-nucleotide ribosomal RNA is filed under the name Vibrio coralliilyticus. RNAcentral's name for it is "bacterial SSU rRNA". It matches the Rfam family "Bacterial small subunit ribosomal RNA", at positions 111 to 607 of the family's 1533-position model. The record is from RNAcentral. Lineage: Bacteria; Pseudomonadati; Pseudomonadota; Gammaproteobacteria; Vibrionales; Vibrionaceae.